UUCCAGACUCCUACGGGAGGCAGCAGUGGGGAAUAUUGCACAAUGGGGGAAACCCUGAUGCAGCGACGCCGCGUGAGCGAAGAAGUACCUCGGUAUGUAAAGCUCUAUCAGCAGGGAAGAAGAUGACGGUACCUGACCAAGAAGCUCCGGCUAAAUACGUGCCAGCAGCCGCGGUAAUACGUAGGGGGCAAGCGUUAUCCGGAUUUACUGGGUGUAAAGGGAGCGUAGACGGCGGUGCAAGCCAGAUGUGAAAGCCCGGGGCUCAACCCCGGGACUGCAUUUGGAACUGUGCUGCUAGAGUGUCGGAGAGGCAGGCGGAAUUCCUAGUGUAGCGGUGAAAUGCGUAGAUAUUAGGAGGAACACCGGUGGCGAAGGCGGCCUGCUGGACUGCAACUGACGUUGAGGCCCGAAAGCGUGGGGAGCAAACAGGAUUAGAUACCCCGGUAC
RNAcentral lists this ribosomal RNA (447 nucleotides) under uncultured bacterium. RNAcentral's name for it is "partial 16S ribosomal RNA". It matches the Rfam family "Bacterial small subunit ribosomal RNA", at positions 329 to 793 of the family's 1533-position model. The record is from RNAcentral.